UUUUUGAGGUGGCUUUGGCAGUUACAGAUUUUCCCGCCUUUUUGUUGUUCAAGUGGCAACAGUGGCAACACACAUUCUUUAUUUUUAACCAUAUCAAAAGAUGAGAGAUAUAUUGAGAAAACCACAUUUUAUUUUGAAUGUUUCCUGAUGCUGAUGUUUGAUGACAUUGUUCAGUUUUUUUGCUAUAAGUCAGAAAUGACAAGGAGGAAGCCUCCCACAAUAGAAAGUCAAUGGAGAGGGUUAGAUUGUUCAUGUGUGGGCGUGCACUAAAUGCGCUCUGUCUCUAUGCCAAAGCCACCUCAUUACUGGAAGUUACAGAUUUGAAAAACAAUAAGGGUGGGGAAAAUUUUGAUUAAAGAAGCCUAAACUCUGAAGCUGAACGAUCCAGCAGACUAUCAGCAAACUCUCAACAGUGCCUGGACGUCUUCAGCCUCCAGUCGCAGGACCGUCUUUGAGACCUGAGAUGUCAUCGUGCUUCAGAUCUAGAGACAAGUGACUCCACAGUUCACCUUCAGCACGGAAUGGAACAAGGACAAUUUCGGGGGGUCUUCACGCUACUGUCCUACCCCUCAUACCAAGCUCAGGGACAUGCUGCUUUUUCAAGAAUUCAAAGAAAGAGUUCCCUUUCUAAGGGAAACUGGAGUUUGCUUUUCAUGCUUGUGUACUGAGCACAAGAGCAAAGAUUGUAAAGGGUGCCUGAAAUGCAAACUUUGUCAUCGAGCUCAACCUACAGUGUUUCGCAUCAAAAGGCAAUCAGCAGCAGUGAACCAGUCGUAAUCUUAUAACAAGUUAGGGUUUUCCAAAACAUGUGGGCAUACAGGGGUUGGUAAGGACUGAUGGGCAUUGUUCAUUCUCCCAGUACAAGUUAAAUCCAUCAAAGGAAACAAAAAGUCAUAAAAACAUUAGCUUUUUUGGAUCUGGGUAGUUCAGCUACAUUCUGCACAGAACAGAUUAGGCAGAAGCUGAAUAUUUCAAGUAAACAGGUCACAUUCUGGCUUAGUACAAUGGGACAUCAGGCCAUGGUUCCAGCUUACUCCUUGACUGGCUUGUAAGUAUUUAGUCUGAAUGGCAAUAACUUCUGUUAGCUUCCUGAGGAACUCACACAGCAGAAAAUGCCAGUUAGUACUGACAACUUGAUAACAUUUUGAUAAGGUUUGGCUAAGUUUCCAUACCUAUCAAAAGUAUGGAGUACCAAAUAUAAAAGCAAAUGUUGACUUGCUGAUUGGUAGCAAUGCUUCAAGGAUAGUGGAACAUUUGGAGAUAGUCAACAGCUGUGGGACUGGCCCAUAUGCUGUUAGGACAGUGUUGGGAUGUGUUGUUAAUGGUCCAUUGAAUGGAAACAGGGGUGCAUUAGGAAUGGAGAUGCAGAUUGUAGGAAAUGUUAAUCAAUCAGUACAAUCAUGAAUUCAAUGAGAACAUAGUAAAGAAAGAAAUGUUGAGGGAGCACAUCAGCUUAAUGGAAAUCGUGGAGCAGUCAGUGGUCCUAGAAGAUAGGAACUAUAGUUUUAGGUUUCCCUAUAAGACCAAAUAAGUCCAUCUACCUAACAACUUUGCUGUGGUAAAGCAAUGGGUCCCUGGAUUGAAGAAAAAGUUCCUAAACAACCAUGAUUUUCAUAAUAAAAAAUGGGAUACAUGAAUGAUGUCAUCAGCAAGGGCUAUGCAGAACAAGCAUCUCAAGAACAGCUGCACUGUGAAAUUGGGACAGUAUGGUACUUCCAUCAUCACGGUGUCAACCAUCCAAGAAAGGGAUCUAUUUACGUGGAGUUGAACUGUAGAGCUACAUUUCAAGGAACAUCUUUAAACAACAAACUUCUGCAGGGCUCUAACCUUACCAGCUCUUUGCUUGGAGUUCUCACUCGCUUCAGAAAGGCACCCAUCACUUUUAAGGGUGACAUUCGGGCUAUGUUCCAUCAAGUUAAGGUGGCUGAAGAAGACAUAACAUUUCUUUGCUUUCUUUGGUGGCCAGAUGGAAACAUCUCUGAGAAACCUGUGGAAUAUAAAAUGACUGUACAUUCAGUGUGAGUGGAGUCAUUCAGAUUCCUGGACACCACUAUCUCUCAGGACCUGAAAUGGGACAUUCACAUUGACUCAAUUGUUAAAAAGGCCCAGUAGAGGUUGUACUUCAUGAUAAAAUUCAAGGAGUGUUGUCACAAGAUGGAAUUCAUUGGAGCUUUAAUCCACCAUUGGGUUCACAUGGUGGUGUAUGGGAAAGAAUGAUACGCUCUGUAAAAAAGGUUGUCAGCUCUGUUCUACAUCAACAAAAUUUAUAUGAUGAUGGACUUUACACAGUUUUCUAUAAAGUAGAAUCUGUUUUGAAUGACAGGCUAGUUACCAAGCUAUCGACAAUCCUAAUGACCUGGAGCCUCUUUUGCUUAAUCAUCAUUAUCUUUUGAAAGGGAAACCAGCUUUACCACCUGGUGUGUUUGAACCUCAUGACCUGUUUGCAAGAAGACGAUGGAGACAGGUGCAAUAUCUUUCAGAUCUGUUCUGGAAAAGAUGAGGCAAAUGCGGAAUCAGAAGAAAACAAGUUUGCUUUCUGGAGACAUUGUAGUAAUUAUGGACUCGUCGGUUCCUUGUGGUUCCUGGGCUCUUGGCAUGGUCAUAGAGGUUUUUCCCAGAUAAGCAUGGUUUGGUUCGUUCUGGGAAGUUGCAGGCCAAAACCAGCAUCAUUGAAAGACCAAUAAAAAACUUUCUCUUUUGUCAGAUGCCCUUCUUCUCAUAGGUGGAUCUCUCCACUCUAUGUUUCAUAGAACCGAGGUUAUGAACAGUAACCUAUUAUUUUCAAACUAAUCCUGCAAGCACCACUAGCACCUCAUUUACACUUCAUCUGCUAAUGAGUUAGUGAGAGUCGAAUCAAUUGUGCAGUGCUGGGGUGUUUGCUGAACCAGUUCGAAAAACUUUGUUUGCCUAUAAUUUGCCUGCUUUGUCUAUAUGUAGAACCGGCCCUAGGCAUAAAGGUGGACAGGGAAAUUACUAGAAGAAUGACAAGUAUAUACACUGUAAAAAUGUGGCUUAACGACCCAGAAAGCUGAAACUGAAGAAAACACAUGCAAAUCACAUCUUCAUCAGUUUGCCAACAUGUGACUGUCAUUCUCGAUGACGUUAUGAUGUAAAGUCGUAAAGUAUAUCAUGCCCCCUUAGAGGUAGAGUUCUUCUGUCAAAAGCAGAAGGAUUUUGUAGACUAGCCAAUAUUGCUUCGACCGUAUAUUUAGACAAUAAAACUGUUAAGUCUAUUGAUCAGAUUUUAUUAAUUUUUUAAUGGAAGAAUCGUGUGCACUGCAUUCGUAAAUCUGUUGUCAUGAAUUAUUUUAAAAACGGUGGACUUCACUUUCUGGAUACUUCUACUUUUUUACAGAUAUCUUUACGAUCCAUCUAUGCGUGAUCAUAGGAACUUCAAGAAGGCAACUAACUCUUGGCAAGGAAUUGCAACC
Long non-coding RNA from Carassius gibelio (silver crucian carp), 3431 nucleotides. RefSeq lists it as uncharacterized. The transcript has 3 exons. Lineage: Eukaryota; Metazoa; Chordata; Actinopteri; Cypriniformes; Cyprinidae. The record is from RefSeq and is a predicted model, not a curated record.